Molecule: ribosomal RNA, 767 nt
Filed under: uncultured bacterium
Lineage: Bacteria
Description: bacterial SSU rRNA
Rfam family: Bacterial small subunit ribosomal RNA
Source: RNAcentral
GAGUUUGAUCAUGGCUCAGAACGAACGCUAGCGGUGUGGAUUAGGCAUGCAAGUCGUGCGCGAAAGUCUUCGGACGAGUAAAGCGGCGAAAGGGUGAGUAACACGUAACCAACGUACCCCUCAGAUCGGAAUAACCUCUGGAAACGGUGGGUAAUGCCGAAUGGUCCGCCAGCAGGCAUCUGCUGGACGGUAAACGGUGGCUUCGGCUGCUGUUGAGGGAGCGGGUUGCGGCCUAUCAGCUUGUUGGUGGGGUAACGGCCUACCAAGGCGAUGACGGGUAGCGGGUCUGAGAGGAUGAUCCGUCACACUGGGACUGAGACACUGCCCAGACUCCUACGGGAGGCUGCAGUCGAGAAUCUUCCACAAUGGACGAAAGUCUGAUGGAGCGACACCGCGUGCAGGAUGAAGGCCCUAGGGUUGUAAACUGCUGUCACGCUAUAGGAACCCACGGUGGUGAAUAGUCAUCGUGCUGACUAAAGCGAAAGGAAGCGCCGGCUAACUCCGUGCCAGCAGCCGCGGUAAUACGGAGGGCGCAAGCGUUGUUCGGAUUCACUGGGCAUAAAGAGCACGUAGGCGGUCUGCUCAGUCGGGUGUGAAAGCCCACGGCCCAACCGUGGAACUGCACCCGAUACUGGUAGACUCGAGGACGGAAGGGGUGAGUGGAACUCCAGGUGGAACGGUGAAAUGUAUAGAUAUCUGGAGGAACACCGGUGGCGAAAGCGGCUCACUGGUCCGUCUCUGACGCUGAGGUGCGAAAGCUAGGGUAG